Molecule: long non-coding RNA, 8682 nt
Organism: Gallus gallus (chicken)
Lineage: Eukaryota; Metazoa; Chordata; Aves; Galliformes; Phasianidae
Source: Ensembl
UCUUCCCUGUAGUUUAGUAAGUAAGGCCUUUCACGCUUGAGUUAGAGUUACCUUGCUCAGUGAACAGAUGGAAUAUCAACAUAGCAUCCUUGAAAUCACUUGGCAAGCAGAAAGUGGCCUGUUGGAUUUUUUUUUUUUUACCACAGCAUAUACUCAUCAACUUUUAUUUCACCUCUGAACUAUUAACAUGCUUUUUCAUUUUAGAUGCCCAUAUCACACCUAUAAAAAUGGCCAGAAAGGACAAAUGAGUAGUGACAGAUAUACACUUAGACAUUUUAUUCUGUCAGAUUUGUUCCAGCAACAGUUGAUUUCCAGAAUCAAUACUGACAGACGGUCAGUCAUUCUAGAUAUCAGCAUCUUCAUAAAUCAAAUCUUACUCUAUAUCACUGUAUCCAUACAGACAGCAUAAGAAAAGCAAAACCCCAAGAGUUUCAAUUAGGCAUGUCCAUGACCGAUGUCAUGAAGUUCACAUGUACUUCUUGCAUAAUUUGGCCUCAGCAUGUUUUCCAAUUUCCAGGAGAAUGUAGAAGCUUUAACCAAUCAAUCUACAUGUUUUUGAGAUUGAUAUUACAUGCUGCUUUACAAGCAAAGAGGUUGUACUCCAUCCCCAGCUAGACGAGUUAUCAAUAAGUCUUGAGCAAAGCAAGGGCAUUUCAUGCCUGUAAACCCUUGGCACUCAUCUUAAGAGAUGAUAGCAAGAUUCUGACCCUGAGUAAGUGACACCAGUCACUAAUAAUAGCAGACUCAUUUGUGCUGUGGUUUGCACAAAAAAAUCAUUUUUUCACAUGAGCUGAAUGCUUAGGAACUCCUGCUAUUCUUGGGCUAAGUGUAACCAAGAUGUCCCACUAGAGUUGGUAGGGGGAUGCAACUUCCUCUUCCAAACCACUCAGCACUUCUCUCCAGUCCCCUAGCAAAAUUUGCUAGUAACUUUCUGUGUGACUUCUCCAAAACAAGUAGAAGUGCUCAUAAGCAACAUAUUAGAGAACAUUUAGCACCUAUGCCUUAACCUGAGCUGGAUCUCAGUUUCAUGGUGGUUGGGGCACCGUCAGGCUGCGUGUGGAAUUCCUAAAGCCAAGGUCCUGCCGUGAAAAGGACAGAACUGGAUAUUCAGCAUCUGAUAUGCUGAGCCUGAGACAUGUCUAACCCAGCUGACAGCAGAAUGAUCUGAAAUCCUGCUGCUCCUCUGGGCCUACAACCUGUUUCAAGUCUCUUCCCUUGGUCAUAAUCUGGUUAAAAACACAAGAUUGAAAACACCGCUUGGAUUUUGGGUACCAAGCGAUCCUAGUGGCUGUCAGUCUUCCUUUCCUGAAAGCUGAGGAGGACAGAUCUCAGAGGGAGAUUUGUCUAACCAUUACUCCCAGAUGCCCCAGUCUUCCUCACAGGAGCAUGAGCCGCUAGCUCUGGACUCGAGUCUGCUCAGGUGCAGUUCCCAGCCUUUAGACAACGGGUUCUUCGCUUACUCUAGUUAUUAUUUCUGUUGAUGCACAGGUGAAGAGGAACAUCACUCCUAGUAUGGAAAAAAGUCUGUUCUAAGCAAGGCCAGAAUAUAUCUGCUCAGAUUUCUCCUUUACUACUUUCUUACAAGCUGCUGAAUGAGAUCAAGUUGUUCCUUCACAACCUUCCUGAGCAUCUUUGGGUUUCUCAUUUGUACUGAACGUUUAAAAAGCAAAGAACUAGCUGAAAAAAAGUGAGCAAAAGAAGCAGCCACUGACUUUUCUGGAAAUUGUUUUGAUUCCUCAGCGAGUGAGAAGGGUUAAGUAAAAGCAGCUAGAUUAUUAACAGUAUGCACCAAGCAGUGAAAGUAAGCCCUAAACUUAUAUUUAGCCAUUCUUGGUAUUCAGCCAAAACAAGCAACAGUAGCUCCUAUUUAAGGUUUGGUGCCAGUUCUCUUGGUUAGAUACUGUAUUCUUUCUUGAUAAUGUGGGCAGCACCAGCAAAAUCAGCUCUUGUCAUUCCAUCUAAAAAGACAGCCACCACACUGAGCCCAAUUACUUGCGUUCCCAGCUACCUGGGGCACGUCAGAAGAGCACCGAGUAAGUUGAAUAAGCAAUUCACUCAAUGCUUGUGCUGAAAAUGAGUGGCUUUUCAAAGCCGUGUGAGUGACUACGUGGUUUUUGCAGCGUUCCAGCAUUUCAAGAAUAAAACAGCGCUGUUAUCUAUUUUAAGCACUGUGCCAUUUGAGACAGUUGCAAACUAUGUUAGCAAGCUGCAGUGCAGGCAUAUUCAGAGGUUUCACACAAUUACUGGAGGCCACAGUACUUUGAUAAUUAUUUUCACUUUUCACCUGCUCAACCAGAGUAGCUGAAAAAGAUUAAUUUCAUGCUAUAACUGAAUUCCCAAAGGAACCAGAAGCCUCUGAUUGCACACACUGCAGCUCAAAUACAGCAGCUCAUUCAUACGCUGUAGAGGGCUUAGGGGAAUAAGAACAGCAGUGCCACAUAAAUAUUCAAUUUACACCUGCAAAUCAAAUGGUAGCAUUAAUGCACUUGGAGAUAAAUCUAUAGCUGGCUACCACAGCAGACCUCUCAUUAGUUCAUUUUUACUGUUUUAAGGGACAGCUUAAUGUAAAGAAAACUUCUGUAGUGCGUCAGGCAGCACAUUUCAAAGCGAAGUACCUUCCCUGCUUUAUAACGAGGCUGUGGAGCUUGUCGUCACAGAGCCAGGAGGAGUUCAGGAGGCUGUUUGUGCAGACUGGGCUCCGAGGCGGCUGCUCAACAUGGCGGUCUGGAUGCGUGUGCCAUACCAGGAAGUUCCCUAUGGCGCUGGGCCUGGGAUGGAUCUGCUGUGGGACACAGGAGGUUAGGCGGAGCAGACCUCUGGCUUUAUCUGACAUGGCCAUUCUUCCCUUCUCCCGUACUCAUCAGCAAUAACUAUACUGACUGGGUAAAAUCUAUGAACUUGUAAACGUUGUCAGCUUUGCUCAAGGUAUCCUCCCUGCAUCUGAUAUCCUCUCUGCAACCAACUUCAUGUCUGUAUGUGGCAGUCUUCAAUAAAAGGGAUAUGUGUGUUUGCACAGGUUAAUUGCAGCCAACAGGCCUGAAGAGACCCCAUCAAGUAAGUUCCUUUCUGUCCUUUCUCUUACUUCUUACUGUCUCCUCCACAUUUUAAAACACUCGACAAACAGGUGAAAUCUGACAUUGUGCUAUCUUUUUAACAUCGAUGCAAAACAAAUGAAUUUUAUUAGUAAGAAUUUUGGGUUUCUAAGACUAUACUGAGAAAUCUUGAUUUCCCAAACCAACUACAAACAAAUUAAUCCAAUGAUUAAUGGCCACUGAAGCCUCGAUAAACUCCUCAUCUUUGUUAGUCAACCACCCCACAUAAACUGCAGCAAGUCAACUAGCAGGAAGUAACUGAAGAACCAGUACACUUUCCCAUCCUCUCCUGCACUUAGUUCAUAGGUCACAUUUGUUGAGACUUGGUUCACUUCAGUAUCACUAAGAUUUUAGAGCAUGUGACUUCAUGGUUCAGUUCAAAAUUAUGCAAAUUAGGUAUCAAGAUAAUUUAGUAGUUUUGUUUACAUUAAGUAUGGAAAUCCCUUUUUACAUCUUCAGAUACACCCACGCUUUAACAUACUUACAGAGCAGUGCACAAAGCUUUGCUUUACUGAAUACAAAGAACUGUUGUGAAUGAUUCUACAUGAUUUUGUAUUUAAAAUCACUUUUUAUCAAAUCAUCCUCUUAUCCUUUAGUGUCUUAAGCAAAUAUUUCUCUGCCACAAGCAAUAAGAUGCAGCUGAAAGCAGUUUGUUGGAGGCAGAUAUGUUCCAAACAUCUAGACGUGUUAUAUUUCAGACAAUGUUAUCUCUUCUUCCGUAAGUACUGUUUGUAUUUUCCCACAAGAAAGCCAGAAAAAAAUCCUUUAACAGGGAGUGCAGUGAUACAAGGGUUAAUGGCUUUAAACUAAAAGGUAGUAAGUUUAACUUAAGUAAGUUUAAAUUAAAGAAACUCUUUCUGUGAGGGUGGUGAGACACUGGAACGGGUUGCCCAGGGAAGCUGUGGCUGCCCCAUCCCUGGAGGUGUUCAAGGCCAGGUUGGAUGGGGCCCUGGGCCGCCUGAGCUGUUGGGAAGUGUUCCUGCCCAUAGCAGGGGGAUGGAACUGGAAGGUCUUCCGGGUGCCUUCCAACCCAAGCCAUUCUGUGAUUCUGUAAGUGAAUUUGAGAAUCUUCCUAGUAAAGUGUGGCUCAAAAUACACUCCCAAUGCCCUAUGAGAAAGUCUUACUCUCCAUCUGUUUCAAAAAGACUACAUCAGGCUUAAACACUUCUUAACAACAACAAAAAAAGUGAAAAAUUAAUUCACUUGAAAAUUUGACUGGUUGAUGAGGAGAUCUUCCUGUGAAUUUCCCUGUAGUGUAUCCAAGUAUGAAAUGCAAAAAGGGAAACACAAAAGGAACUGUCUAGAUGGUAGGCAGCCUUUCUGAGUUUAUAAAUUAGGUCCACACUCAAUCACUUCCACUGGGAUUGAGAGCUGUUGCAGAAAGUCAUGACUAAAAGUACACCAAGCUCUUAGCAGCUCCUCAGUUGAUUUGUGAGGACUGUAAGGCACGUCUUGAACAACAGACAAAUGGUGCUUGGCUUUUACUUAAAAGAGACUCACAGCUUUACUCUAUGGUGGCAUUUUAAAGCCCAUUGGGGUAGGGUUCUGGUAUUAUUCUAUGGCAUUAGCUGACCUCUUUCAAAUCAUCCACAUUCAUACAUCAGAAAAAGAGGAAAAUAUUACUCUUGGCUUACAAGUAUCAGAGAAAUUGAAGUGCACUGAGAGCAACUUUUAUAAGAGAUUUUGUAAUAUAAAUAUAGCCCAUGCAACUUAUAUCAUAACAAUGUUAUUCUGUUCUCUAGCCCUGACAGGACCAUUACGCAUAGGUAUUUCAAUUUAUUCCACUUCCAAGAGCCUUCUUUCAUAUCAUGGAACAAAUUUCAUUAAAUCACAGCUUUCAUGUGCCAACCAUAAGUUUCAGUUGGCUUCUAUUUUCCUCCAAGUGCAUUGUAAGUAUAAUACUAAAUCCUCACAAAUACCAAGAGGGCUUACUCCUGUAAGGUGCUAAAUGUCCUCCUCCCUUUCCAGGUCAAAUAAGCUCCAGCUGUCUAUCAAAUGCAAUGCUGAACUGUUGCUUUCUUUCAGUGUCAUUAUUUUCAAAAAUGCAGUCAUAGGAGACUUCAGAUAUAUAGUCAGCUCCGCUCAGUUACAGAUUGGCAAUUUAUCUGGAUUACUGCCUGACCUCGCUGCAAGUAGAGACACUUCACAGGGCUCUGUGCAGAACCAGCCCAGCACUAGUUUAUUAUUCCAGGGACUGCACUGCAUGAGUGCACCUGUAUUGUUCCAUACCACAACCUGGAAGCAAUGCUUCGGUGAAAGCAGUCCAGCUAUUAAAUACUGCUGAUCUGCCACACUGCAGUUAGCGAUCUACAGGACCACAGAGCUGCCUCUGCUCAGACUGCAAGGACUGAUAUAUUGAAAAUUAGGUGGAAUACCCCUUUGCAUAGUGGGAUAGAUAUAGGACAAGCACAAGAAAGCUUGGGGCAAAAAAGGAAGAGCUGGGGCAAGGAAGAAAAAAAAAAUGACUGAAGCAAUAGUAGCUCAGACCAAUAUUCCACUUACAGUGCAAGGAAGGAGGUUAAAAGUAUGACCAUAACAAGGAGCUGUUCUUCACUACAGAAGGUUUCUUCACUACAGCCUGGAUGCAGGGUCAGAUGACAGCAGCUUGAGCUCAAUAGCCGGGAAAAGCACUUCUGAAACCUAAACCUUCAGACAACAUAACACAUUGCCGCUGGGGUGUCUAUGGCAUACACUUCGUGGUUGAAGACAUACCCAGAAUUUCAGUUGCUCCAAAGACUGUUGUGCCAGGCUCCAUCAUACAGAUAAACACUUUCAGACACCUAGGUUGAGGGGUUCAGCUUUGUCCCUAUUUUCUCCUGUUGUCUGUAAGUAUCAGCUUCAAGGUAGCUACUGACAGUAACCACGGCUGCUGGGGAGGGGGCAGUGCCCCAGCCUUGGCUCCCGCCUACUUUCUUCCCAGCUGAUGGGAGCCAUCCAGUUGCAGAAUCUAGUGUGCCCCUUCCCCAGCAAAUUCUUCUGCUGGGAUGUGGUGGUCACAGUGUGCGGGCUUUUUUGGCAACAACUAUCUAUUCUUGGAGGCCAAAGUCUGCCUAAGGUGCCCUUUCACUUCAAGUUUCAUCUGAUCAAUUCCUUAUAAAUACCUAAGAGCUUCCUCAGUCCUGCAGGCAGAAGAGCUUUUCCCCAGUUUUGCUUAUUCAGAAAGAGAUUUUCUUUAUGUUUUGGUAGCCAUACCUUUAGGAGCUGGCACCAGAUAGGACACAUAAACACAGUACAUAUGAAAUAUGUGGGACCAGUGGUUCUCCUUACUACAUGAGAGUCCGGUGAAGAGUUUCAGUGAUGGGUGGUAACUUGCCAAAGCAGCAAGCAUUGAAGAUACACUGCAAACAAAGAGCCAUGUCUGCUAUCAUCCCAGCAGGUGCAAAAUUUGCAGACAGAAUCAAAAACUGAUAAAAUUCACAGAUGAGAAGAGAUGUCAUAGAGGAAUAUGGGUAGCCUGAUGAGAAGAGCGCUUUGCAAACAGAAAACAUCCAUACGUGCUCACAUUACUCAUCUAGGAAGGGGCAGUGCAGGUCCCUCUGAAUAGCUGUGGGGCUACAGAGCAGCGACUGUGAAAGAUCUAGAGCCCAUAGGUGACAAUCAGUUAUGAAUGAGCUCUGGCUGCAGUGCUGUAUAAGCAGGGAUGGUGCAGUCUCUGUAUUGGAAGCAAGGAGCAGAGCAGCUUUUCAUCAUCCUGACCGAAGUGCUGAAUUUAUCAAAACCAAGAUCUCCGUGGAAGGAUGGCAGCUGAAGAAAUGAAAAUGUAUACUCUGAUUGAUACAUACGUUUCAUCUGAUAAUUUGCUUCGUGAAAAAUUAAGAACUCCCAAAUAAAAGAAAAUUAUAAACCUCUAUAAAGCUGCAAAUUUUCUUCUGGUGAAGAACCUUCUUGCAUACAGUUCUCUAAAGAAGCAUAGAUUAGGAGUGGGCAAUGAUUUUACACUUGUAUAAAACAUCAUGAAACUGAUACAGUAACACAAUAGAAAGCUGAGAUAUCUGUAUUUUAAAAACACAUGCAGGAAAAAUGGAGAAUCUGUUAAAAAGAAAACAAACAGAAUUCAUUUGAGAGCAUCAGAAAAUGGAUUUUAGAGAGAAACGAAGGCUCUCGUUUUGAGUCUGUUACUACCUUUGGGUCCAACAUUCACACAAGAAGAAAGCAGUGCUUGAAAUGUUCUGCAGUUUAGGAUCGAAAAUCCCAACAGGAACCUAAUGGCUCGAAACUGAAAUGAGACAAAAUAAAAUUAGAAAUAAGGAGAAAAAAUUAAUAGGGAGAAUGGGAUAAUAUUUAAACCAAUAAUAGUGGAAAUGAUGAAUUCAGUCUUUUCAUGUCUUCAGAUCAAUACCACAGGCAUCACUGGAACACAAACUGUAGCCAGGCAAAAGACCUUCAGAUCAAUACAAGGGUAAUGAACGAAAUUUAAUAGCCUGCAAACACACAAGAGGUCAGAUCAGAUGAUUCAAUGGUCCCUCAGGAUUUAUAAUCUGGGGACAACCAUACGAGAUCAAAGCACACUGGGCAGGGUAAUGAAAUGAGCGUGCAUUGCAGUCUUUGCCAGGACUGCUGCACUAGAAAGUUAAGAAGUACAGGACUUCCUUUUCCUUCGUGCUCAUCCAUCUCUUGAUUUUGUUCCUCCAUCAGAAGAUGCUUUGUGGAUAGAGUCCCCCACUGACUGCAAAUGUUCCUAUAGAAUCACAUUGCUGGGGUGAUGGUGAGACUUAUAACAUUUAUGUCCAUCACUUCCAGGUGACAGCCUACUUUUCAAACCCAUAUCUCCCACGUUUGGUCUCAAGAGAAAUUUUAAAGUGAUUGAGGGAGGACUGCUGUCAUGGUUUUGGACUGAAAUCAGGAGGAAAACCAUUCAUCUGUAAGAAGAUACUUCGCAGUCUCUUUCACUGCUCCUUCAAAAAGCCAGACUUUCAGGUGGUAGGUCCAUGGAGGAAACUAGGCUGUUGAGACAUCGUACACAAUGAAACAGUAGCAAGUGAUCACCAGAGAGCAGUUCUGAAUAUCUACAGCACAGAGGGCAUCCUUCUUCCUGUUAAAAUACUGGCAGUUUUAUGGAACAGCAAGUCUUCGUCUGUGAAUGUUCGGAGAAAUGACUGCAUGGCUGCGUACUUCAUUGAUGCUCCACAGCAGAAACAAACAAUUCCAGAGUUUAAGUUGAAUCGGUGGGAGGUUUGGUCUCAUGCCUAAAUAGCAUCUUAUACCAUCAGCUCCUGAUUCAUUUCAGGUUGAAUCUAAACAAGUUAAGCACAGCUACUCGGGCACUUUUACUAAAGGCAAUCUGUCAAGGCAGAGAAAAACAUACUCUGUGUCUAUGACAUGGAAGCCAUAUAUCCCAGUAUAUAUCCCCAACCCCUUAUCUUUUAGAUUGAGGGUUGUCCAGGGUAAAGAUGUUACAGUCUGCCCAGGAAGACAAGGCUUCAGCCAACAAUCCCUGUGGCUUUCUAGUGCCACUGUGUAAUACUUCAGUGAUUGUUUUAAUAAUCAUUACAACUGUUUUGCAUUAAACACUAAUUCCUAGUUAAACAACUAAACAAUGUUCCUUUGUUCACGUCUUUCUGCCGAGAAGUCAUCUAUCUGUAACCCUAGC